GCAGUCGUGGCCGAGUGGUUAAGGCGAUGGACUAGAAGUCUAAUGUGGUCUCCCCGCACAGGUUCGAAUCCUGUCGACUGCG
RNAcentral lists this transfer RNA (82 nucleotides) under Rhipicephalus microplus (southern cattle tick). RNAcentral describes it as "tRNA-Ser". It matches the Rfam family "tRNA". Rfam says of the family: Transfer RNA (tRNA) molecules are approximately 80 nucleotides in length. Their secondary structure includes four short double-helical elements and three loops (D, anti-codon, and T loops). Lineage: Eukaryota; Metazoa; Arthropoda; Arachnida; Ixodida; Ixodidae. The record is from Rfam by way of RNAcentral.